UGGUGGAGUGAUUUGUCUGGUUAAUUCCGUUAACGAACGAGACCUUAGCCUGCUAAAUAGUUGCUGGAAACCUUGGUUUUCAGUCAGCUUCUUAGAGGGACUUCGUGUGUUUAACACGAGGAAGUUUGAGGCAAUAACA
This 139-nucleotide ribosomal RNA is filed under the name uncultured eukaryote. RNAcentral describes it as "partial 18S ribosomal RNA". It matches the Rfam family "Eukaryotic small subunit ribosomal RNA", at positions 1299 to 1458 of the family's 1831-position model. The record is from RNAcentral.